This 314-nucleotide long non-coding RNA is filed under the name Vigna radiata. RNAcentral's name for it is "long non-coding RNA (VRAD_LNC003512)". Lineage: Eukaryota; Viridiplantae; Streptophyta; Magnoliopsida; Fabales; Fabaceae. The record is from RNAcentral.
UUUACAAGGUUACAUCAUUCCCCUACAACAAAUAAAAAUUAGUUCCCCAUAGACAUGGGGGAACUCUAUGAACAAUGGAAGAAAGAAAGAGAAUGGAAGAAUAAGAAUUGACUAAGAGUGUAUUGCUAUGGUCUUCUCUGCUAGGGAUGCAAAACCUAGAGCCCUAAGGUCCUUUAAAUAUGCCAGAAGUGUCCCAAAGUGCGGCCCGGUCCAAAAGAAUCAAAACAAAGCAUAAAUAGGGCCCGAUCCACUAAAAUUGUUGCUUAGGCAUCUAAGGAGGACGCCCAGGUGAGAAUUGGACCUCAUGUAAGGCC